AUGAACGCUGGCGGCGUGCCUAAUACAUGCAAGUCGAACGAAACUUCUUUAUCACCGAGUGCCUGCACUCACCGAUAAAGAGUUGAGUGGCGAACGGGUGAGUAACACGUGGGCAACCUGCCCAAAAGAGGGGGAUAACACUUGGAAACAGGUGCUAAUACCGCAUAACCAUAGUUACCGCAUGGUAACUAUGUAAAAGGUGGCUAUACUACCGCUUUUGGAUGGGCCCGCGGCGCAUUAGCUAGUUGGUAGGGUAAAGGCUUACCAAGGCAAUGAUGCGUAGCCGAAUUGAGAGGUUGAUCGGCCACAUUGGGACUGAGACACGGCCCAAACUCCUACGGGAGGCAGCAGUAGGGAAUCUUCCACAAUGGGCGAAAGCCUGAUGGAGCAACGCCGCGUGGGUGAAGAAGGUCUUCGGAUCGUAAAACCCUGUUGUUAGAGAAGAAAGUGCGUGAGAGUAACUGUUCACGUUUCGACGGUAUCUAACCAGAAAGCCACGGCUAACUACGUG
This 511-nucleotide ribosomal RNA is filed under the name uncultured bacterium. Its description in RNAcentral is "partial 16S ribosomal RNA". It matches the Rfam family "Bacterial small subunit ribosomal RNA", at positions 29 to 507 of the family's 1533-position model. The record is from RNAcentral.